RNAcentral lists this ribosomal RNA (291 nucleotides) under Triticum aestivum (bread wheat). RNAcentral's name for it is "partial small subunit ribosomal RNA". The record is from RNAcentral. Lineage: Eukaryota; Viridiplantae; Streptophyta; Magnoliopsida; Poales; Poaceae.
AUGUCCUCCUCCACUGUAGCCAUCUCUUCUGGCCUCAACUACAACACAUCAGAACCCCUUACCCAGACGAACUAUGUUCUCUGGCGAGCCCAAGCACGAUCCCAGAUACUGGGCGCUGGAUUGUUCGGCUAUAUCGAUCAAACCAUCGAGGAGCCUCGCAAAACAAUCUCUAGCAAAGACAAAGAUGGCAAGGAGCAGGUAGUUCCCAAUCCUGCCUACAACCCCUGGUUAGUUCAAGAUCAGCAAAUCGUAGCAUAUCCUCUCUGCAAUCUUUCCAAGAAGGUGCUUGUU